Molecule: signal recognition particle RNA, 94 nt
Filed under: Myxococcota bacterium
Lineage: Bacteria; Pseudomonadati; Myxococcota
Description: signal recognition particle sRNA small type
Rfam family: Bacterial small signal recognition particle RNA
About the family: The signal recognition particle (SRP) is a universally conserved ribonucleoprotein involved in the co-translational targeting of proteins to membranes. Archaeal SRP consists of a 7S RNA and homologues of the eukaryotic SRP19 and SRP54 proteins. In most bacteria, the SRP consists of a 4.5S RNA and the Ffh protein (a homologue of the eukaryotic SRP54 protein).
Source: RNAcentral
UGCCGGGACGGGAUGGCGUUGAUAUUGCGUAACCCCGCCAGGUCCGGAAGGAAGCAACGGUAAGUAGUGUUGCGGGUGUCCCGUCCCGGUAUUU